Oncorhynchus tshawytscha (Chinook salmon) is the source of this 2959-nucleotide long non-coding RNA. RefSeq lists it as uncharacterized. The record is from RefSeq and is a predicted model, not a curated record. NCBI's taxonomy places the organism in Eukaryota, Metazoa, Chordata, Actinopteri, Salmoniformes, Salmonidae. The transcript is spliced from 2 exons.
GGGUUGUUAGUGGCUCUUUUAUUCCAUGCCACUUCUGUCUGACUGUCACUUCUCAGAUUUGUGCAGACUUCACAACGCAGAAUACCAAGUCACGACAGGAGAGAUGGAGAGAGACUGGGAGCAUGAGAGAAGCUGCAAGUCUAAAACGAAUGGGAGGACACCAGGAUAGUAAGGUUGACGGGGGUGGGCAUCUAUUACGUCAAAGGAAAGGGAGGACGUGCUGCACAGGAUUCCUCAUCAGUUGAUGUCAGCGUUUCGGCACAGGGGAGUGAUUUAAGAGGGCAUGGCGUUCUUGUCGUGCACCCACCCCUCCGAGGCUGUUCCAGUCUGCCAGUCCCGCUACGCUCUGCACUGCAAUGUAAAAACAAACAAAACACCCUGGGCCUUUUUAAUUAUCUCCGGGGCACAGUCUGACAGCUCAGAGCUGAGGAGAUAACCAGCUAAAGCGGAGUAACCAGCUAUUACACUAAAUAUUUGGGUGCGUUGCACAGCUGAGGCCAUGAGUGAGAGUGUGGGAAAUAUCGACUGGUGGAAAGUUGGAAAACAAUUCAAACCCCAACUGGCAUGAUGGCAUUAACAGCUUAUCGUUAAUGUCACUCAGUAGUUAAGAUUUGAGUUGACUGUAGAGUUUACACAAUGGAAUGGAACUUUCGGGUUUGCUUUACUCGCUCAAUGUUCUAGGGUUCUAGCCAAUGGUUUGUCGUCAGGUGAGAUGUUUUUGACAUGGUUAGGAGACAGGGUUUUGCUGGCGCCAUUCUUAUUAUUUAUGGCAGGAGGGUGGAUAACGUUGGGGGUGGGUUACAUGUUGGUAAGGGGAUGUUAUUUGAAGGUCGUGACCUUUCCUUAUUACCAAUUUACAAACCAGCCCAGUGUUGUAAAUUGCUUUAUUGUGCCACAGAGCGUGGGCACCACUCACCCGCGCAGGGCCACCUUGAAACCAUGUUGAUGUUGACCUAUGGGGUCACUGGGGUACAAGAGUAUUUUAGUAAAUCAAAACUAAUCAUGAGAACUAUUUAGUAAACUGAAAUAAACUAAUUAACAAAUCUGCUUGAAAAAUGAAAACUCCAAAAUAAAAUAAAAUGAAACCCUAAUGAAAUAUGUUCAGUUUUCAAUGGAAUGGGGUUUACAAUGGAAUGGAGUUUUCAAUGGAAUGGGGUUUACAAUGGAAUGGAGUUUUAAAUGGAAUGGGGUUUACAAUGGAAUGGAGUUUUAAAUGGAAUGGGGUUUACAAUGGAAUGGAGUUUUCAAUGGAAUGGGGUUUACAAUAGAAUGGAGUUUUCAAUGGAAUGGGGUUUACAAUGGAAUGGAGUUUUCAAUGGAGUUUUCAAGCUACUGAAUCUGAAAUCAUAAUAUAAUAUUGUGUGUGUACAUUGUACAAUCAAUUAGAGAGAGAGCCUCAUAUCACAGUUAUUUGAAUAUAUCCACUAUACACAUAAAUCACAGCAAAUUGGUUCCUGUUUCAGCCAUGUCUUUGGUCACAUUUGCUUGGUCAAACAAAAAUCCUAAUGAAUGAAUGAGAAUAGAGCCGACCACAAUGCAGGCGACGGCUGCAGGAUGAAGUUGCUGAAACUUGCAGUCGACAGCAAGCAAAACUUCAUAACGUUUGAUCCCAUGAUUUUUGUAAAGUUCAUGCGGUUUCGUGUAGGUGCAAGUCAGACUAUUUGUAUUCCCAGAAUGCAGCACACUUUGAAAGGUGGUGAAGUGAUCCGAUUAAGGUGAGCACAAUGCAAUACUUUGCUCUCACAUAGUCACGCAGAGUAACCAGAGCGAAGCGCACCCGUGCACAUGGGCAGAUACUCUGUAUGACUGUGUGAGAGCAAAGUCUUGCAUCGUGCUCAUCUCAAUGGGCGCGUUUUGAGCGGGUCACUUUUGUCAAGUUGGUGACCGUUGUUGGUCACUGCCUUUCGAAGUGUGUUGCAUUGAACAUGGUUGUUACAGGACCAAAAGAGCAGAAAAGUUUAGCCUCGUGCUUCAACGCUCCUGGUUGUUGCUGAAAUGGACCCACUACAACUGUUUACCUUGUGCAUCUACAUCAUCUUACUAGCCCCGUUUAUACCUGGUUCUAACAUGCGUCCUUUGUCCUGAUCUUGUCCAUAUUCUGAUUUGUGUCCACAUUUUUUAGACAGUUGUAGAUUAUUGAGAGAAGGAUCGUGAUCAGACGUUCCUGACCACCGCCUCAUUGAGUCUAGAUAUCUUAGUGUAGACGGAUCUGGACAGUGAAACCAGUUAAAUCAUCAUUAUCCCGCCUUCUAAAGUCAUUGACGGGGGGCACCAUUGACGUAUGAUGUCAAUAUGUGUCUUAAAUAAAUAAAUAAAUAUUAUUUUGAAAGAAUUUGCAUACAUGGAGGGACCAGGAAAUCUGGUACCAAUGCGGACACAGUGAUAAGAGACUCAUUUUAAUACAAUGUGUAGAUGCAUAUCUGAAAAUGUGGGCACAAUCAGAAGAAAGGAUGAGUGUUUCUCCUAUCAGAAGAAAGGAUGAGUGUUUCUCCUUUCAGGAGAAAGUAUGAGUGUUUCUCCUUUCAGGAGAAAGGAAGAGUGUUUCUCCUUUCAGAAGAAAGGAUGAGUGUUUCUCCUUUCAGAAGAAAGGAUGAGUGUUUCUCCUUUCAGGAGAAAGGAUGAGUGUUUCUCCUUUCAGAAGAAAGGAUGAAUUUUAGCGCCGGGUAUAAACUUAAACUGUAAAACUUAAACAAAACAAAAAACAAGCUAGAAGUGGAUCUGAAAACUAACUGAAUCUGAACUGAGUUACAAAUACAAAUCCUAGAAGGAGUAUGUUGAGUAAACAGCCUUGAGUAAAAUGUAAAAAAAAAAAUAUAUAUGAAAACACAAAACUAUAAUAACCUUGCUCUUCCAAGGAUCCGUGGUGAUUUUCUAUUGACAUAAACAAGUAAUUUGAGCCUUGAGAAUCUUUUUCAUCAUCAUUGCUUCUACCAAUGCUGCCUAAGGCCGUCUGUGAAAA